GACGUAGGGCGCGAGCGUUGUCCGGAUUUAUUGGGCGUAAAGAGCUCGUAGGCGGCUUGUCGCGUCGACCGUGAAAACUUGGGGCUCAACCCCAAGCCUGCGGUCGAUACGGGCAGGCUAGAGUUCGGUAGGGGAGACUGGAAUUCCUGGUGUAGCGGUGAAAUGCGCAGAUAUCAGGAGGAACACCGGUGGCGAAGGCGGUUCUCUGGGCCUGUACUGACGCUGAGGAACGAAAGCGUGGGGAGCGAACAGG
Molecule: ribosomal RNA, 253 nt
Filed under: uncultured bacterium
Lineage: Bacteria
Description: partial 16S ribosomal RNA
Rfam family: Bacterial small subunit ribosomal RNA
Source: RNAcentral